This 220-nucleotide long non-coding RNA is filed under the name Elaeis guineensis (African oil palm). RNAcentral's name for it is "long non-coding RNA (EGUI_LNC045574)". The record is from RNAcentral. Lineage: Eukaryota; Viridiplantae; Streptophyta; Magnoliopsida; Arecales; Arecaceae.
CACUAGUUCCUCUCUUUUCUUAUAUUUUCAAAGUUAUUCAAUAUUUCUCACAAAUUUGAUUGUUUUCUCUUUUCAAUCCUCUUAAUCUCACUUUCCAAAUGUUUCUCUAGCUUUUUAUAAUCUUGGAAGAGGCUUGAGAGUAUGUUUUGACUAUUGGAGAGCUUAGAAUAGCCGUUAGAUACGAAAACUAACUGUUGAAAAAAUAUAGAAAACUAACCGU